RNAcentral lists this long non-coding RNA (810 nucleotides) under Homo sapiens (human). Its description in RNAcentral is "novel transcript". The record is from RNAcentral. Lineage: Eukaryota; Metazoa; Chordata; Mammalia; Primates; Hominidae.
GGACGCCAGGACAGCCCCGAAGACGAGAAUGCCUCGCUCCUCCUAGGACGGGAGGAAAAUCCCACAAAUCCUGUCUACUCCAAGCAGCCGCGCCCCUCGGGAGACCACCCCAGUUGGAGGGGCCCACUCCAGCCACCGCUACACCGGGACGCGCUCCUCCUCCCCCUGUGCCCGCCCCUUCUCGUGAGGGACCACCAGGAGGCCCCUCGAUUCCCCAGCAAAACACAGGUUUUGGAGCCAGAGUUUCUGAGUUUGAAUGUUUGGUCUGCUACUGACCAACUCUAUGGGCUUGGGCCUGCAAAGAAAACAUCAAAGAAGAAGGUCAAAAACCAAUUACAUUCUAGGAGUGACCUUGAUGACUUAACUCUGUAAUCUGCAGCAACCUCAGAGGAUCAUGGGAUGCAUUAUGCACGUCAUGGAAUGGAUUGUAAUGUGUAACAUCUAUGAAAUCAAAGGAUGAAGAAGAUCGUGCCCAGAGCUCUCCUUGGGGGUGGAUGACAGAAUGAACAUUUACUCUGGGCUCACUGGAAAAGCUCCAACGUCUUGGAAAUUGAGUGGGUAUAAGGAAUGCACAAAUUAGUUUUCCUGUGACAGCAUGCAGAGCACUUUUCCAAGUCCCCAGCACAGGGGUUCGUAGAAGAGGAAUGACUGAAUCUUCAGGUGUCUGUGGGCUGCCAGGAGGACACUUGGCCAAGAACUAUGUCUCAUCUUGCUUUCUGAGACCUCUUCCCCUCUUUUACACUUGUUCCUGUCUUUUGAAUACCAGGAAGCCCAGGUUGCCUUCUGACCUUCAGAGGCCCUCACACCACC